ACCUGGCUGGCUCAGUUGGUAGAGCAUGCGACUCUUGUUCCCAGGGUUGUGGGUUUGAGCUCCACGUUGGAUG
This 73-nucleotide transfer RNA is filed under the name Felis catus (domestic cat). It matches the Rfam family "tRNA". From Rfam's summary of the family: Transfer RNA (tRNA) molecules are approximately 80 nucleotides in length. Lineage: Eukaryota; Metazoa; Chordata; Mammalia; Carnivora; Felidae. The record is from Rfam by way of RNAcentral.